RNAcentral lists this ribosomal RNA (316 nucleotides) under Polystoma integerrimum. RNAcentral describes it as "eukaryotic LSU rRNA". It matches the Rfam family "Eukaryotic large subunit ribosomal RNA", at positions 84 to 377 of the family's 3401-position model. Lineage: Eukaryota; Metazoa; Platyhelminthes; Monogenea; Polystomatidea; Polystomatidae. The record is from RNAcentral.
UAACGGCGAGUGAACGGGGAUCAGCCCAGCACCGAAGCCUGCAUCCGUUUGGGUGUAAGGCAAUGUGGUGUUUAGGUGAUCACAUGUUGAUUCCUCUACUGUCCCAAGUCCAGUAAUGAAUAUGGCUAUAUUAAUGGCCCAGAGAGGGUGAAAGGCCCGUGGGGGCAGUAUUGGCAGGUUUUGACUUGUGGUCUCCUUGGAGUCGGGUUGUUUGUGAAUGCAGCCCAAAUUGGGUGGUAGACUCCAUCUAAGGCUAAAUAUUUACACGAGUCCGAUAGCGAACAAGUACCGUGAGGGAAAGUUGAAAAGUUACUCU